Long non-coding RNA from Sarcophilus harrisii (Tasmanian devil), 631 nucleotides. RefSeq lists it as uncharacterized. Lineage: Eukaryota; Metazoa; Chordata; Mammalia; Dasyuromorphia; Dasyuridae. The record is from RefSeq and is a predicted model, not a curated record. The transcript is spliced from 2 exons.
CUCUCACAAGAAGAGAAGAAAAGGUACCAGAGGAUUAACAAAGUGGAACAUGGCAUCCCUUAGUCUAUUGCUGCCCUUCUUCUCAUGUCCUGCAGAACAUCUGGGCUUCAAUUUAGAAAAGAAAGGAGGCAGUCAUUGGAAAUGGUCACAGAGGGAUACUGUGGUGAAGGCAAGAGAGAGAGAUGCUAGGACACAUGGUGAACAGAUUUAUUUUUUAUUUUUUUGCUGGGGGAAACUUUUGGAUCCAUCCAUCCUGCUCUACUACCAAUGAGUUAGUUGGAACUAAAGAAGGUUCGAGAUCACUGACCAGAACAGAAUAACCCAGCCCAAGAAAAUGUCUGCUUUUUUUUUUCCCAAGUCCAUCCAGAUUCUGAGUUCUUUUUCCAUUGCUGCUCCAGAAUUUCUUCAUCCUCCUCUGAUGACUACCCUACUUUCAAUGCAUGAAUAUCCAACACUGAAUUGAGAUGAAAUUUAUUAUUUUUAUUAUUAUUGCCUGCUUAAUGGAGGACUCAAUUUGUGUAUUUUUUUUUUUAACACUUCAAAUAGCUUCUAUGUCUGGAGGACUUCUAGGUAACUAGAAGAGCAACAGACUUGAAACUUCUAAGAUGUUUAUUAUAGAUUGUUCUCUUGA